AGAGUUUGAUCCUGGCUCAGGACGAACGCUGGCGGCGCGCCUAACACAUGCAAGUCGAACGGAGUUAUUUUCUUCACUCCGAGCUUUUUGCCAGUUAGCCGGAGCGGCAAUCGGUUUUGCCCAGCAUAAAAAGCAAAACCGAUUUAGGCUCAUAAAGUAAGACUAACACAGAGGGCAGAGAGUUGGGAGUGAAGAAAAUAACUUAGUGGCGAACGGGUGAGUAACGCGUGAGUAACCUGCCCUGGAGUGGGGGACAACAGUUGGAAACGACUGCUAAUACCGCAUAAGCCCACGAUCCGGCAUCGGAUUGAGGGAAAAGGAUUUAUUCGCUUCAGGAUGGACUCGCGUCCAAUUAGCUAGUUGGUGAGGUAACGGCCCACCAAGGCGACGAUUGGUAGCCGGACUGAGAGGUUGAACGGCCACAUUGGGACUGAGACACGGCCCAGACUCCUACGGGAGGCAGCAGUGGGGGAUAUUGCACAAUGGGGGAAACCCUGAUGCAGCGACGCCGCGUGGAGGAAGAAGGUUUUCGGAUUGUAAACUCCUGUCGUUAGGGACGAUAAUGACGGUACCUAACAAGAAAGCACCGGCUAACUACGUGCCAGCAGCCGCGGUAAAACGUAGGGUGCAAGCGUUGUCCGGAAUUACUGGGUGUAAAGGGAGCGCAGGCGGACCGGCAAGUUGGAAGUGAAAACUAUGGGCUCAACCCAUAAAUUGCUUUCAAAACUGCUGGCCUUGAGUAGUGCAGAGGUAGGUGGAAUUCCCGGUGUAGCGGUGGAAUGCGUAGAUAUCGGGAGGAACACCAGUGGCGAAGGCGACCUACUGGGCACCAACUGACGCUGAGGCUCGAAAGCAUGGGUAGCAAACAGGAUUAGAUACCCUGGUAGUCCAUGCCGUAAACGAUGAUUACUAGGUGUUGGAGGAUUGACCCCUUCAGUGCCGCAGUU
RNAcentral lists this ribosomal RNA (947 nucleotides) under uncultured bacterium. Its description in RNAcentral is "bacterial SSU rRNA". It matches the Rfam family "Bacterial small subunit ribosomal RNA", at positions 8 to 853 of the family's 1533-position model. The record is from RNAcentral.